Sphaeramia orbicularis (orbiculate cardinalfish) is the source of this 602-nucleotide non-coding RNA. The record is from the annotation of a RefSeq genome assembly. NCBI's taxonomy places the organism in Eukaryota, Metazoa, Chordata, Actinopteri, Kurtiformes, Apogonidae.
GUUCUUGGUCUGUCUCCUCCCCUCUCACUGCAGACAUGAAACACUGGCUGAGAAACAUCCUGAUUCUGACUCUCUGGAUAGAGUGUAAAGGAGAAGACAAAGUGACCCAGCCAACAGGAGAUGUCACUGCUGUUCAAGGACUCACACUGACUCUACAAUGUACAUUUGAGACCAGUGACGCAAAUCCAACUUUGUUUUGGUACAAACAGGAAGUGAAUGAUUAUCCCAGAUACAUGCUUUAUAAAUACAAAUCAGGAUCAGAAACAUUUAAAGCUCCUGAGUACCAGGAUGAAAGAUUAGACGCCAAGAACAACCAGACCUCAUUUCCACUGAAGAUCCAGAAGCUUCAUGUGUCAGACUCUGCUGUGUACUACUGUGCUCUGCAGCCCACAGUGACAGGAAACAGUAAAACUCUGAACAAUAACCUCUGGAGCAAAGACAACACAGUACUACACAACAUCCACGAGAGGGACUCACACACUGAUCCAACCAUGACACACAGGUUCUGGGUUGUUCUGUGCAGAUGUCAGUAUCACUGUUGUCAUUCACCCGAUGCUGCUCUGUCAAACAGUCGGCUUGGAUUCACUGCAAACGACUCUUGA